This 1996-nucleotide long non-coding RNA is filed under the name Prunus dulcis (almond). RNAcentral's name for it is "sRNA ncRNA". Lineage: Eukaryota; Viridiplantae; Streptophyta; Magnoliopsida; Rosales; Rosaceae. The record is from RNAcentral.
GUAAGACUAUCUCUUAAGCCAGAGAAGAAACCUACACUCGGGGAGAGUUGAGGAUCGAAGAAGAAACAAUUCCAAGAAAAUGAGCUUUGGGGAAAAGAAAGAUGAAGGUUCUAGUAGCAAGGGACCAACUCCAAAGAAGAACCGUACCACUACCUGCAAUGCGUGUGGCGAAGAAGGCCACAUUAGACCUAACUGUCCACAUCGGAAUCAAGCUGGUGGAACAAAUGCACCACGACAACAGUCGCUGAGAAACGACACCAGAAACCAGGCUGCUCGGCCUGCUCAAUAAGCACCACCAAGAGGAAACCAGACAGGACCAAGUAGGAGACCUGAAAAUCCACAACCAGGAAGGAAUGGAGGACGAGUGUUCGUCGUGGCAGGAAGGCAGGGACAAAGAAGAAGGAAUUGCUCUUGACAGUACGAUUAUUUUAUCCAACACUCAAGUUAAGCUUUUGGUUGAUACUGGUGCAUCAUAUUCCUUUAUUUCUGAGUGGUCAGCCAAAAUUUUAGGACUAACCAGUAAGAUGUUGGAUAGAAUAUUAGUAUUAACUGUUCCUUUGGGUGGAAAUGCUAAUGUGGAUUCCAUUUACCUCUUAAAACAAGCCCAACCCCAAAGGGAACAGUUAAUGCUAAUAUUCUAUCCAAUCAGUCUAUGCAACACUUGGUACAAGAUUUUGUCCAAGCUACUUGCCAACCGGUUAAAGUCUCUCAUGCCUCACCUUGUUUCUGAUUCCCAAAAUGCCUUCUUGGCUGACCGUUAGAUUCAUGAUAAUGUGAUUGUAGCUCAUGAAGCCUUUCAUUAUCUUAAGCUCAAGAGAGCAGGUCACAAGUAUGCAAGUAUGAAGUGGGAAUUAAAAUUGACAUGAACAAGGCUUAUGAUAGGGUGGAGUGAGAUUUUCUUGAAGCUCUGUUACAAAAGCUUGGUUUCCAGAUAGGAUGGAUCAGAUUGGUUAUGUUGUGUAUUAGAACCGUCUCUUUCUUUGUCUUAGUGAAUGGUCAACCUGGUUCAUCCUUCCUGCCAUCGAACACACUCUAUUUCUUUGCCCCUGGGCUCAAGCUGUGUGGUUUGGAUCUCCAAUGACGUUAAGAAUUGAUACUCAAAGCUUUAACACUCUAGAUGUUUGGCUGAAUAAUAUUCUGGACUUGAGAACAGAAUAAAAAAUGGAAAAGCAUGAUCUGCUCACUAUGCUAAGCUUUUUUCUUUGGGAAAUAUGGAAGACCAGAUGCAAAGCUAUCAUGGAAGGUUGUAGAAUUGAUCCAUGCAAAGUGGUUGAAACAGCAAGUAAGGCAAAGGUGGAAUUUUAGAAAGUGUGGCAAGGUAAUGCAAAUAGUGUAACGAGCCGUUCCCCUUCAAUUGGCGAGGUUUGCUCGUGGGAGCCGCCGCCUAUGGGUUUUGUUAAAGUUAAUAUUGAUGGGAGUUGGCAAAAGCAAUGGUAGAAAAGCUGGUGUUGGAGUGGUUAUUCGAAAUUCAGUUGGGGAGUUUCUAGGAGGCUUGGCUGCAUCACGAGUGGGUCACUCUGCUCUUGAGGUGGAGGCUGAAGCAGCUGUCAUGGGGCUGGAGCUUACGGCCAAUCUUGGCUAUAGUGAUGUCUACGUGAAAUCUGACUCAAAGACCCUUGUGGAUGGGAUCAAUGGGGAUAUAAGGAACCGUGCUUGGACUAUCAGGCCUUCUAUUGAGGUUAUCUAGCAUAGAGCUGAUCAGCUCAGAAGUGUUUUUUGGCAUUGGGUUCAAAGGAGUUCAAAUCGAGCAGCUCAUGAGGCUGCAGCGAUAGCUUGCCGAGUAGUGGAGCUGGAAAGCUAGGUUACUCAACCACUGUUGUCUCUCUUACAUGUUUUGGUGUUUGAUGGUCUUCUAGGUCCUCCUUAGUUGGAGUUUUCCUUCUUUUGCUGGAUUGUAGCGAUUCAGAUGAAGGAGAUUCUCUAGUUGUCUCAGUUUCUGCUUUCUGUGUAUUUCCUUGCAGUUGCCUUUUGGCUUGGAAUCCAAUUCAUGGUUGAC